UCUCCGCUUUAACCCUCUCUGACAACAUCUUGCUAGAAACGAACGUUAUGUGGUGGAGGAAAGGAAGGCUCUUGGCCGGUUUUCGAGGCCAUGGUGGUCAAAAUUGCUGAGAGGGAGGCAACACUUGAAAGCUACAUCAAGGACACCGGAGGAAGGACCAGAAGACCUGAGACCCAGACGACCCAAGCCCAACCCAAUAGUAUGCUUCACUGACAAAUGUUGAUGCUUCAUCAUCAAAUAGACCAAAGGUUUCAGAGAAGGCUGGUAGAGCUCUCUAUGAGUGUGAGCUGUGGGAGAUAACCAAGAACUGACAACCACCUAAAGAAGAGGUGGCGAUAAAGGCUCUCCAAGAGGAGGUUGUGAGUCUGAAGGCUUUUAUUCAACAAGGAGGCACUUAGAGGGAAUGCCUGGACCCUGAGAGGACUAAGACGAUAAUUGAGGCCACCCUGAAGCAGUUCCCAGGCCAGACACUCACUCCAAAUUGCUGGGCCAGGCAAUAAAUGCCAAAGUGACAGAACUGAGGUUCCAUAACAAAAACAAAGAUUUUCAA
Molecule: long non-coding RNA, 550 nt
Organism: Alosa sapidissima (American shad)
Lineage: Eukaryota; Metazoa; Chordata; Actinopteri; Clupeiformes; Clupeidae
Exons: 5
Source: RefSeq, a predicted model, not a curated record